This 1053-nucleotide long non-coding RNA is filed under the name Marmota monax (woodchuck). The record is from RNAcentral. Lineage: Eukaryota; Metazoa; Chordata; Mammalia; Rodentia; Sciuridae.
GUGAAAGUGGAUAAUAAAUAUAAAAGAGCUGCCAUAUUUUGAUAUUAAGGAGAAACAAGGGGAAAAAUUGCUAAGAGUCAUGCAAGAUAAGUCCCUAGAGGUUUGAAGAAAUGAAUAAAGUGCCUGGGCAAUUAUGCUUUCUUUAAACUAGUCUUUCAGUGACUAUCAACAUGUUUGCAGUAAGAGCCAUUCUGAGAGGUAGCAGGUGUCUACUCUCAGGUACGUGUGUUCUGUGUGGUCAAAUCUUGUAAUUGUUCAAACAUCCGUGCUUUGGGUGAGCGAGAAAGAGUGUAAAAUUUAUAUUUAUAGGACAUUCAAAUAAGGUGAUGGAUUUGGAAUCUCUUUAUAAAUAUGCUUUUCAAACCUGUGUUGCUAUUAUUAUUUUUGAAAUUUCAAUACUAAAAAUUUUAAUCAUUAAUAAUACUCAUAUAUACAAUAUCUUUCAAGCACCUGAUAUUGUUUAAUUUUUGUCUAAUCUUUUUUUUUCAUAGACCUAUACUAAUGCCUUUUAAAACAUUUUUAUUUUUGGUAAUUUAGCAGGAUAUUUUCCACUAAAUUUUAGAUGUACAUGGUAUGUGUGCAUAUAUGUGUGCAUUUUAAUACUUCUCAUCACUGAAAUAAUUAAUAUUAGUUAAAUGGCUACCUGUUUACCUCAGUUGCCUAUUGAUACAUGUUUGAACUACAUCACUGGAGUUGUGUCCUUGGAUUUAAAGUUUAGCAUGAUGUCUUGCCUACUGUUGUAUACCAGUUGGCUACUUGCUGGCCAUUAGAUAGUGACCUAACAAGAACCUGAAGAGGAUUAGCAGAAUUUGCUUUUUACAGCACACAUAAAUUAUGGUGCUUCCUGUCUCUAAAAUGUGCUUUUAUCAACUGCUUGUCAUUUCAAAUUUCUCUUUAACAUCUACCUAGAAUGCCACUAAUAUUAAUCCUGGAUCAACUUACCUAAGAUUUUGAGCAGGAAACCCAACAGCACAAAAUGAAUUUUACCCUGAUUCCCUAUUCUUUCUAAAAUCUAAUUCAUGAUAUAUAAUAUGUAGUUUAAUAAUAGUAGAC